UAAAUAAGAAACAAUUAAUUGUAUUUAGUUUCGACCUAAAAUUUUGAUGUUAUUCAUCCUUAUUUAU
Molecule: transfer RNA, 67 nt
Filed under: Dermestes maculatus (common hide beetle)
Lineage: Eukaryota; Metazoa; Arthropoda; Insecta; Coleoptera; Dermestidae
Also listed under: 1 other name
Description: tRNA-Arg
Source: RNAcentral